AGUGAAAAAGAACCUGAAACCGUGUACGUACAAGCAGUGGGAGCCUCUUUAUGGGGUGACUGCGUACCUUUUGUAUAAUGGGUCAGCGACUUAUAUUCUGUAGCAAGGUUAACCGAAUAGGGGAGCCGAAGGGAAACCGAGUCUUAACUGGGCGUUAAGUUGCAGGGUAUAGACCCGAAACCCGGUGAUCUAGCCAUGGGCAGGUUGAAGGUUGGGUAACACUAACUGGAGGACCGAACCGACUAAUGUUGAAAAAUUAGCGGAUGACUUGUGGCUGGGGGUGAAAGGCCAAUCAAACCGGGAGAUAGCUGGUUCUCCCCGAAAGCUAUUUAGGUAGCGCCUCGUGAAUUCAUCUCCGGGGGUAGAGCACUGUUUCGGCAAGGGGGUCAUCCCGACUUACCAACCCGAUGCAAACUGCGAAUACCGGAGAAUGUUAUCACGGGAGACACACGGCGGGUGCUAACGUCCGUCGUGAAGAGGGAAACAACCCAGACCGCCAGCUAAGGUCCCAAAGUCAUGGUUAAGUGGGAAACGAUGUGGGAAGGCCCAGACAGCCAGGAUGUUGGCUUAGAAGCAGCCAUCAUUUAAAGAAAGCGUAAUAGCUCACUGGUCGAGUCGGCCUGCGCGGAAGAUGUAACGGGGCUAAACCAUGCACCGAAGCUGCGGCAGCGACACUAUGUGUUGUUGGGUAGGGGAGCGU
Molecule: ribosomal RNA, 700 nt
Filed under: Escherichia coli
Lineage: Bacteria; Pseudomonadati; Pseudomonadota; Gammaproteobacteria; Enterobacterales; Enterobacteriaceae
Description: partial 23S ribosomal RNA
Rfam family: Bacterial large subunit ribosomal RNA
Source: RNAcentral